Schistocerca piceifrons (Central American locust) is the source of this 74-nucleotide non-coding RNA. The record is from the annotation of a RefSeq genome assembly. Lineage: Eukaryota; Metazoa; Arthropoda; Insecta; Orthoptera; Acrididae.
GUCUGGAUGGCGCAAUGGUUACCGCACCUGCUUAGUAAGCAGGAGAUCCUGGGUUCGAAUCCCGGUCCAGUACA